RNAcentral lists this ribosomal RNA (1346 nucleotides) under uncultured bacterium. RNAcentral describes it as "partial 16S ribosomal RNA". It matches the Rfam family "Bacterial small subunit ribosomal RNA", at positions 28 to 1381 of the family's 1533-position model. The record is from RNAcentral.
GACGAACGCUGGCGGCGUGCUUAACACAUGCAAGUCGAACGGAAAGGCCCUGCUUUUGUGGGGUGCUCGAGUGGCGAACGGGUGAGUAACACGUGAGUAACCUGCCCUUGACUUUGGGAUAACUUCAGGAAACUGGGGCUAAUACCGGAUAGGAGCUCCUGCUGCAUGGUGGGGGUUGGAAAGUUUCGGCGGUUGGGGAUGGACUCGCGGCUUAUCAGCUUGUUGGUGGGGUAGUGGCUUACCAAGGCUUUGACGGGUAGCCGGCCUGAGAGGGUGACCGGCCACAUUGGGACUGAGAUACGGCCCAGACUCCUACGGGAGGCAGCAGUGGGGAAUAUUGCACAAUGGGCGGAAGCCUGAUGCAGCAACGCCGCGUGCGGGAUGACGGCCUUCGGGUUGUAAACCGCUUUCGCCUGUGACGAAGCGUGAGUGACGGUAAUGGGUAAAGAAGCACCGGCUAACUACGUGCCAGCAGCCGCGGUGAUACGUAGGGUGCGAGCGUUGUCCGGAUUUAUUGGGCGUAAAGGGCUCGUAGGUGGUUGAUCGCGUCGGAAGUGUAAUCUUGGGGCUUAACCCUGAGCGUGCUUUCGAUACGGGUUGACUUGAGGAAGGUAGGGGAGAAUGGAAUUCCUGGUGGAGCGGUGGAAUGCGCAGAUAUCAGGAGGAACACCAGUGGCGAAGGCGGUUCUCUGGGCCUUUCCUGACGCUGAGGAGCGAAAGCGUGGGGAGCGAACAGGCUUAGAUACCCUGGUAGUCCACGCUGUAAACGGUGGGUACUAGGUGUGGGGUCCAUUCCACGGGUUCCGUGCCGUAGCUAACGCUUUAAGUACCCCGCCUGGGGAGUACGGCCGCAAGGCUAAAACUCAAAGGAAUUGACGGGGCCCCGCACAAGCGGCGGAGCAUGCGGAUUAAUUCGAUGCAACGCGUAGAACCUUACCUGGGUUUGACAUGGAUCGGGAGUGCUCAGAGAUGGGUGUGCCUCUUUUGGGGUCGGUUCACAGGUGGUGCAUGGCUGUCGUCAGCUCGUGUCGUGAGAUGCUGGGUUAAGUCCCGCAACGAGCGCAACCCUUGUUCACUGUUGCCAGCACGUUAUGGUGGGGACUCAGUGGAGACCGCCGGGGUCAACUCGGAGGAAGGUGGGGAUGACGUCAAGUCAUCAUGCCCCUUAUGUCCAGGGCUUCACGCAUGCUACAAUGGCUGGUACAGAGAGUGGCGAGCCUGUGAGGGUGAGCGAAUCUCGGAAAGCCGGUCUCAGUUCGGAUUGGGGUCUGCAACUCGACCUCAUGAAGUCGGAGUCGCUAGUAAUCGCAGAUCAGCAACGCUGCGGUGAAUACGUUCCCGGGGCU